AACGAACGCUGGCGGCAUGCCUAACACAUGCAAGUCGAACGAGACCUUCGGGUCUAGUGGCGCACGGGUGCGUAAUGCGUGGGAACCUGCCCUUAGGUUCGGAAUAACUCCCCGAAAGGGGUGCUAAUACCGGAUAAUGUCUUCGGACCAAAGAUUUAUCGCCUUUGGAUGGGCCCGCGUUGGAUUAGCUAGUUGGUAGGGUAAAAGCCUACCAAGGCGACGAUCCAUAGCUGGUCUGAGAGGAUGAUCAGCCACACUGGGACUGAGACACGGCCCAGACUCCUACGGGAAGCAGCAGUGGGGAAUAUUGGACAAUGGGCGAAAGACUGAUCCAGCAAUGCCGCGUGAGUGAUGAAGGCCUUAGGGUUGUAAAGCUCUUUUACCCGGGAUGAUAAUGACAGUACCGGGAGAAUAAGCUCCGGCUAACUCCGUG
Molecule: ribosomal RNA, 433 nt
Filed under: uncultured bacterium
Lineage: Bacteria
Description: partial 16S ribosomal RNA
Rfam family: Bacterial small subunit ribosomal RNA
Source: RNAcentral